This 253-nucleotide ribosomal RNA is filed under the name uncultured bacterium. RNAcentral's name for it is "partial 16S ribosomal RNA". It matches the Rfam family "Bacterial small subunit ribosomal RNA", at positions 524 to 776 of the family's 1533-position model. The record is from RNAcentral.
GACGGAGGAGGCAAGCGUUAUCCGGAAUUAUUGGGCGUAAAGGGUACGUAGGCGGCUGGUCAAGUCUGGGGUCAAAGGCCACAGCUCAACUGUGGGAAGGCCCUGGAAACUGACCGGCUAGAGUGAGGUAGGGGUUGCGGGAAUUCCCGGUGUAGCGGUGAAAUGCGUAGAGAUUGGGAAGAACACCUGAGGCGGAAGCGCGCAACUGGGCCGAAACUGACGAUGAGGUACGAAAGCUAGGGGAGCGAAUGGG